Molecule: long non-coding RNA, 1231 nt
Filed under: Homo sapiens (human)
Lineage: Eukaryota; Metazoa; Chordata; Mammalia; Primates; Hominidae
Description: SYNPO2L antisense RNA 1, transcript variant 1 (SYNPO2L-AS1)
Source: RNAcentral
AGUUGCUAAAGCCAGGCCAGUGAGACAUAGAGCUGAGACAGGCAAUGGGAGCCCUGGAUUAGGGGAAGAGAAGAGGAGAGAGGUCCAUACCGCUGCACAGUGAGGACAAGCUGAUUUCCUGAGGCAUCGAUGAGGCUCAUGGCACUGGCAUGGGAGAGGUUGGUGCAAGAGACCCCAUUGAUUGCCAAGAGCUGGUCCCUCUCUCGGAGUCCUGCUCUGCCAGCCUGGCUCCGUCUUCGAAUCUGAGAUGUUGAAGGAGACACUGUAGGGACCUCGCGCUGACAUCUGGGAAAUGCCAUUCAUACUGGAACCUCCGACACACUGCCAUGAAUGUGAGGGUUUCGUGACUGAUGGGGAGACUGCAGUCAAAUAAAACAGAUACUACACGCACUCGUCGGGGCAGCCGUACUGCAGAAGCACGUUGAUGCACUCCUGGCUGGAGGCCUGCCGGGCGUAGGUCAGCGCUGUGUUCCCGUGGGCAUCUCGGGCCAUGACGUCCACCCCGUACCAGAUCAGGAGCUGUGCCAGGACCACAUUCCCCUUGCGGCAGGCCAGAUGGAGCGCCGUGCAGCCGUCUCCCUCCCCACAGGUCUCGUUCACCUCCUCACGGGAGCCAUGUGCCAGCAGCAGGAUGGCUGUCUGCAGGUCCUCAUCAGCGGUGGCCCGCAGCAGGUGCUGGCCCAGGGACAGCUCAGUGCAGGGUAGUGGGGCCAGAAAGAGCUUCUCCUCAUAUUUGGAACGGAUCCACCGUUCCUUCUCUUCCCUCGUGGACUUUACUGAGGGUUUUGUCUGCCCCUGGCUGCUCCCUUCCCAGAUGCUGUUGGCUAGGUCAUUGCCAAUAGAUGACAUAACCUUCCUGAGCUCAACUGGCCAGUCAUCCAGCUCCAGAGAUCGCACACGGGAAAGGCGGGUGCCAAGACUGCGGUGGAUUCCUGAGCAUUCAAUACACAUGAGGACUCCCAAGUUCAAACUGGCCCACUUAGGAUUCUGGGUCUCAUAGUCCACACAGUGGGCGUUCCCACGCAUGUUUUGGAUCGACUGCAGGGCCAUGGCCUCGCUCUGGCUGGUCAGCUGGGACUUGCUUUUACUGCUCUCGCAUGACUGCAGGCUGGCCAGGAUCUGGCUCUGGAUGGCUUGGACCCAGGCAUCCCGCUCCUCAUACGUCGUGGCUUCAAAGUGCCAUGUUUGGCCAGUGGCAGACACAAUCAUAAAGUUGUUGGUGCUUUUCUUC